This 423-nucleotide ribosomal RNA is filed under the name uncultured bacterium. RNAcentral's name for it is "bacterial SSU rRNA". It matches the Rfam family "Bacterial small subunit ribosomal RNA", at positions 207 to 622 of the family's 1533-position model. The record is from RNAcentral.
AAGACCUUGCGCUUUUGGAGCGGCCGAUGCCUGAUUAGCUUGUUGGUAAGGUAAAAGCUUACCAAGGCUUCGAUCAGUAGCUGGUCUGAGAGGACGGCCAGCCACACUGGGACUGAGACACGGCCCAGACUCCUACGGGAGGCAGCAGUGGGGAAUUUUGGACAAUGGGGGCAACCCUGAUCCAGCCAUGCCGCGUGAGUGAAGAAGGCCUUCGGGUUGUAAAGCUCUUUCAGCCGGAACGAAACGGUUACGGUUAAUACCCGUGAUUACUGACGGUACCGGAAGAAGAAGCACCGGCUAACUACGUGCCAGCAGCCGCGGUAAUACGUAGGGUGCGAGCGUUAAUCGGAAUUACUGGGCGUAAAGCGCGCGCAGGUGGUUUUGUAAGUCAGAUGUGAAAGCCCCGGGCUCAACCUGGGAACU